RNAcentral lists this ribosomal RNA (459 nucleotides) under uncultured bacterium. Its description in RNAcentral is "bacterial SSU rRNA". It matches the Rfam family "Bacterial small subunit ribosomal RNA", at positions 340 to 786 of the family's 1533-position model. The record is from RNAcentral.
UACGGAAGGCAGCAGUGGGGAAUAUUGCACAAUGGGCGAAAGCCUGAUGCAGCUAUGCCGCGUGUAUGAAGAAGGCCUUAGGGUUGUAAAGUACUUUCAUCGGGGAGGAAAAACAAAACUAAUAAUUUUAUUUCUUGACGUUACCCGAAAAAGAAGCACCGGCUAACUCCGUGCCAGCAGCCGCGGUAAUACGGAGAGGGCUAGCGUUAUUCGGAAUUAUUGGGCGUAAAGAGCGCGUAGGCUGAUUAGUAAGUUAAAAGUGAAAUCCCAAAGCUUAACUUUGGAAUUGCUUUUUAAAACUGCUAGUCUAGAGAUUGAAAGAGGAUAGAGGAAUUCCUAGGUGUAGAGGUGAAAUUCGUAAAUAUUAGGAGGAACACCAGUGGCGAAGGCGUCUAUCUGGUUCAAAUCUGACGCUGAGGGCGCGAAGGGCGUGGGGAGCGAAACAGGGAUUAGGAUACC